UACGGAGGGUGCAAGCGUUAUCCGGAUUUACUGGGUUUAAAGGGUGCGUAGGCGGGCCUUUAAGUCAGUGGUGAAAGCUCCGAGCUUAACUCGGAAACUGCCAUUGAUACUAUCGGUCUUGAAUUCGGUCGAGGUUGGCGGAAUGUGUCGUGUAGCGGUGAAAUGCUUAGAUAUGACACAGAACACCGAUUGCGAAGGCAGCUAGCUAGACCGACAUUGACGCUGAGGCACGAAAGCGUGAGGAUCAAACAGG
RNAcentral lists this ribosomal RNA (253 nucleotides) under uncultured bacterium. Its description in RNAcentral is "partial 16S ribosomal RNA". It matches the Rfam family "Bacterial small subunit ribosomal RNA", at positions 524 to 776 of the family's 1533-position model. The record is from RNAcentral.